GACGAACGCUGGCGGCGUGCUUAACACAUGCAAGUCGAACGGAAAGGCCCUGCUUUUGUGGGGUGCUCGAGUGGCGAACGGGUGAGUAACACGUGAGUAACCUGCCCUUGACUUUGGGAUAACUUCAGGAAACUGGGGCUAAUACCGGAUAGGAGCUCCUGCUGCAUGGUGGGGGUUGGAAAGUUUCGGCGGUUGGGGAUGGACUCGCGGCUUAUCAGCUUGUUGGUGGGGUAGUGGCUUACCAAGGCUUUGACGGGUAGCCGGCCUGAGAGGGUGACCAGCGACAUUGGGACUGAGGUACGGCGCAGACGCCUACGGGAGGCAGCAGUGGGGAAUAUUACACAAUGGGCGGAAGCCUGAUGCGGCAACGCCGCGUGCGGGAUGACGGCCUUCGGGUUGUAAACCGCUUUCGCCUGUGACGAAGCGUGAGUGACGGUAAUGGGUAAAGAAGCACCGGCUAACUACGUG
This 468-nucleotide ribosomal RNA is filed under the name uncultured bacterium. Its description in RNAcentral is "partial 16S ribosomal RNA". It matches the Rfam family "Bacterial small subunit ribosomal RNA", at positions 28 to 507 of the family's 1533-position model. The record is from RNAcentral.